CAAAAAUGAUAGAUUUUAACAACAAUGUAGCACAUAGAAUACACAAUACAUACCAAAUUAUGAAAAUUUAACAGAAUUCACAAUCCACAGAACACCAAACCCAAUACAAAUACAAUUCAAAUUCACACUCCAUAACAAACCAACACAAUUCAUAAUGCAUGUCCAACAUUAGGUAGUGGAACAUUGUUUUUACAGGUGCUUUUAUUGUGGCAUGUGCCACUGCACCUUGAGCAUUUUCUCCUUAGGAUAUCCUCUCCUUGCGACGAAAUCCUUAGCUUCUUUCGUUGGCCUAGCAUGACCUUUGCAUUGGGAGGACGCACAACUCUACUUUGGACAUCUUCAGGAAUAACCCACAACUCUUGAGGCUGUACUGGGUAGAUGGUAUCUGAAUAAGCAUCCAACCAUGUAUUUC
This 412-nucleotide long non-coding RNA is filed under the name Prunus dulcis (almond). RNAcentral's name for it is "sRNA ncRNA". The record is from RNAcentral. Lineage: Eukaryota; Viridiplantae; Streptophyta; Magnoliopsida; Rosales; Rosaceae.